Molecule: non-coding RNA, 796 nt
Filed under: Zelandoperla fenestrata
Lineage: Eukaryota; Metazoa; Arthropoda; Insecta; Plecoptera; Gripopterygidae
Source: RNAcentral
UUAAAGUUUUAUUCUUGCUUAUUAAUUUAUUUUAGUUUUGUUUUACAUGUGAGUUUUUGCGUGAUUUUUCUGGGGAAUCUUGAAGAUUUUUUAUUUAUUAUUUAUUCGCAGUAUUUAAUUUUAUUAAUCAAGGAAAGUUGGAAUUAGUAAUAAUUUAUAGUGCCGGCAAAAGUCGUGCCAGCAGCCGCGGUUACACGGAGGGCACAAGUAAAUAUUUUUAGUUUAUAGUUAUAAGUACAGUAGUUGAGGAUAUAAAAUUAAAUUUGUUAGGUGGAAUUUUAAUUUUAAAAUAUUUCUUUCAUAUUUAUUAGAAGCUGUGAAAUUUAAAUUUUAAACUAGGAUUAGAUACCCUAUUAUUUUAAAUGUAAACCAAAAGGGCUUGAGUAGUAAUAGAUAUGUUCUUGAAACUCAAAGAAUUUGGCGGUGUUUUAGUCCUUUCAGAGGAACCUGUCCCAUAAUCGAUAGUCCACGUUUUACCUUACUUAAUUUUGUUAUCAGCUUGUAUACCGCCGUCGUCAGAAUGUCCUUAGAGGGGUAUAAUUUUCUUGAUUUUUUAUUAAAAUUGAUGUCAGGUCAAGGUGCAGCUUAUGGUUAAGUGGAGAUGGGUUACAAUAAACUUAUUUAUACGGAAAAUAGGUGGCAGAACUUAUUGGAAGGUGGAUUUGAUUGUAAUUAAUUUGAUUAAGUUAAUUUGAUUUUGGCUCUAAAACAUGCACACAUCGCCCGUCGCUCUCGUUAUUUAAGGCGAGAUAAGUCGUAACAUAGUAGGUGUACCGGAAGGUGUACCUGGAAAGUU